Molecule: non-coding RNA, 640 nt
Organism: Dama dama (fallow deer)
Lineage: Eukaryota; Metazoa; Chordata; Mammalia; Artiodactyla; Cervidae
Source: the annotation of a RefSeq genome assembly
ACGCUCGGCUCAGCUGUGGGGCCAGAGAACGCAGGACGCCCUGACCAUGUCCACCAUGGCCUGGUCCCCUCUGGUCCUCACCCUGGUCACUCUCUGCACAGGAUCCUGGGCCCAGGCUGUGCUGACCCAGCCGCCCUCCGUGUCCGCGUCCCCGGGCCAGAGGGUCACCAUCUCCUGCACCGGAAGCAGCAGCAACAUUGGGCUAUUGGGUGUGAGCUGGUACCAACACCUCCCAGGAUCAGCCCCGAAAACCCUGAUCUAUGAUAGUAACAAACGACCCGCGGGGGUCCCCGACCGAUGCUCUGGCACCAAGUCUGGCAACACAGGCACCCUGACCAUCACUCCGCUGCAGGCUGAGGACGAGGCUGAUUAUUACUCUGCAUCUUAUGACACUAGCAGCAAUGAUGGCACAGUGUUCCAUGCCAGAAAAUGUAAACAGAUUCUGAUACCACUGAAGUGCACCCUGAUCAUUCGUGUGAACAAGAGAGCCGUGGAGCUGAGCUCCCUCAGCCGAGAUCAGGAGCAGGAGGCUUUCCCAGAUGCGCCUUCAGCAGAGUCCGUGGACAAUCCCAGCAGGCGGAUUGUCCCCCAGGGCGUGAACUCUGCUCCUGAAAGUUCAGAGCAGAGACCUGAAGAGUGA